UGAGGAAUAUUGGACAAUGGGCGCAAGCCUGAUCCAGCCAUGCCGCGUGAGUGAAGAAGGCCUUCGGGUUGUAAAGCUCUUUCAGGUGGAAAGAAAACGCAUAGGUUAAUACCUUGUGCGGAUGACGGUACCAUCAGAAGAAGCACCGGCUAACUACGUGCCAGCAGCCGCGGUAAUACGUAGGGUGCGAGCGUUAAUCGGAAUUACUGGGCGUAAAGCGUGCGCAGGCGGUUAUGUAAGACAGAUGUGAAAUCCCCGGGCUCAACCUGGGAACUGCAUUUGUGACUGCAUGGCUAGAGUACGGUAGAGGGAGAUGGAAUUCCGCGUGUAGCAGUGAAAUGCGUAGAUAUGCGGAGGAACACCGAUGGCGAAGGCAGCCUCCUGGGCCAGUACUGACGCUCAUGCACGAAAGCGUGGGGAGCAAACA
This 427-nucleotide ribosomal RNA is filed under the name uncultured bacterium. RNAcentral describes it as "bacterial SSU rRNA". It matches the Rfam family "Bacterial small subunit ribosomal RNA", at positions 355 to 774 of the family's 1533-position model. The record is from RNAcentral.